RNAcentral lists this ribosomal RNA (542 nucleotides) under uncultured bacterium. RNAcentral describes it as "bacterial SSU rRNA". It matches the Rfam family "Bacterial small subunit ribosomal RNA", at positions 773 to 1327 of the family's 1533-position model. The record is from RNAcentral.
AGUGAAUAGAUACCCCGGUAGUCCACGCCGUAAACGAUGGAUGCUAGCUGUACGGAGUAUCGACCCUCUGUGUAGCAAAAAGCUAACGCGUUAAGCAUCCCGCCUGUGGAGUACGAGCGCAAGCUUAAAACAUAAAGGAAUUGACGGGGACCCGCACAAGCGGUGGAGCGUGUUGUUUAAUUCGAUGGUAAGCGAAGAACCUUACCCAGGCUUGACAUCCUGUUAAUCUUUCCGAAAGGAAGGAGUGCCUUCGGGCCGCAGUGACAGGUGAUGCAUGGCCGUCGUCAGCUCGUGUCGUGAGAUGUUUGGUUAAGUCCAUCAACGAGCGCAACCCCUGUAGUUAGUUGGAUUUUUCUAGCUAGACUGCCUCGGUAACGGGGAGGAAGGAGGGGACGAUGUCAGGUCAGUAUCUCCCUUACGUCUGGGGCUACAAACACGCUACAAUGGCCGGUACAAAGGGCUGCCAACCCGCGAGGGGUAGCAAAUCCCAUCAAAGCCGGUCUCAGUUCGGAUUGCAGGCUGAAACUCGCCUGCAUGAAGCU